Molecule: ribosomal RNA, 346 nt
Filed under: uncultured bacterium
Lineage: Bacteria
Description: partial 16S ribosomal RNA
Rfam family: Bacterial small subunit ribosomal RNA
Source: RNAcentral
CCUACGGGAGGCUGCAGUGAGGAAUAUUGGUCAAUGGGCGCGAGCCUGAACCAGCCAAGUAGCGUGAAGGAUGACUGCCCUACGGGUUGUAAACUUCUUUUAUAAAGGAAUAAAGUGAGGCACGUGUGCCUUUUUGUAUGUACUUUAUGAAUAAGGAUCGGCUAACUCCGUGCCAGCAGCCGCGGUAAUACGGAGGAUCCGAGCGUUAUCCGGAGUUAGUGGGUUUAAAGGGAGCGUAGAUGGGUUGUGAAGUCAGUUGUGCCAGUUUGCGGCUCAACCGUAAAAUUGCCAUUGAGACUGGCAGUCUUGCGUACCGUUGCGCUAGGCGGCAUUCGUGGUGUAGCUG